Molecule: long non-coding RNA, 1259 nt
Organism: Salvia splendens (bonfire salvia)
Lineage: Eukaryota; Viridiplantae; Streptophyta; Magnoliopsida; Lamiales; Lamiaceae
Exons: 2
Source: RefSeq, a predicted model, not a curated record
UCCUAAUGGCAGACGAAGGGAGUAUCAUUUUUCUAAAAUAAGUGUAGAAAAUGAAAUGACUAUAUUACUGUGGAAUGGAGGAAGUAUUAUUCUGUGGCCUACUCCAAUUUAUAUUAGUACUGUAAACUUAGAGUAGAUUGUCACCUAGGUUAAGAUUCAUGCACAAACAUGGGUACGGUAACACUGAAUAUUUGGCAUCUUUUUUAACUUAUUCUAGGGGAAGUUGAAAUGAACAAUUAUUAAACUAUUUUAUUUUAAACCCAAAGUAAUUAAUUACGGAAUUGGGCAUCCUUGAUAUAUUUACUGCAGCCCCAAUUAUUUGAAGUUAGGCUCAAAUUAUUUACUCCCCUUCUUAGCCCAAUCAUCAAUUAAAUUAAAAUACCACACAUAUAUUCUUCCCCUCCAUCGUCAAUCCCUACUCAUCUUCUUUUAUCCCAAAUUUCAUUUGCCCCAACAAAAUAGAAAACAGAAAAUCAGUGCCUCCUUCUCCCUCUACCUCUCGCACUCUCUCUCUCUGUCUCUCUCGGUAGCGCCGCCGUCCGCUGCUCCCUCCGCCUGCUUUUCUCUCUCCCCCUCCGUCUCUCACACUCUCACCCGAAAUUUGCUCCCAAGUUCAGACACCCAAAAUCGAGGACCUCCGCCGUCGAUUCGCGCUUUUUCUCCGCCACUCGGCAGCAAUCGGCCAUCUCGGCUUCAAAGCUAAGUCUUAAACUCUCGUUUCUAUUCUUAAAUUUCAGUUAUUGAAAUCGAGUCAUUCGAAUUAUUGGUUAUCGGUUUAGUUUCAUGCCAUCGUUGGAUUUGUUGCUUGAAUUACAGUUUAUGCGACAAUUCUAAGUGAACACCCCGACGGAGAAGAUAUAUUAAAACUGAAAGGACUGUACCUUUCUUGAGGGAGGAGUUGUUCGAAGACUUGGAGGAUUUUUUAGUGCUGAUGAUGUGGCAGGAAGAGUUUGUGUACUUAUGAUGUGGCAGGAGGAUUUUUUAGUGCUGAUGAUGUGGCAGGAAGAGUUUGUGGCUGGGCUAUUGCGGGGCGAAAGCCAUUGUGGAUGCUCUUAUGCCAAAACUAAACAUAUAUUAUGAUUCCUCUUCAUCGACUCUUUUAACCGGUGAAAAGAAAUGAAAUGAAGAUUAAAUAAAAAUUUUCGUCUACCCAUUCGACGUCCUUUCGAGUUCAAUUAAAAAGAAAGGAAAAGUCGGGAUGUUACAAUUAUGUUGAUAUUUUCAUAAUACUAUAUUGACAUUUUCAUUUAAAAUCUUAA